Brachypodium distachyon (stiff brome) is the source of this 125-nucleotide non-coding RNA. NCBI's taxonomy places the organism in Eukaryota, Viridiplantae, Streptophyta, Magnoliopsida, Poales, Poaceae. The record is from Rfam.
UAUAUACUCCCUCCGUCCCAUAUUAAGUGACUCAAAUUUGUCCAAAUAUGGAUGUAUCUUUGUCUAAAAAGCGUCUAGAUACAUGUAAUAGAAUGUCACUUAAUAUGGGACGGAGGGAGUAUAUA